GGGUCAAUGAUGAGAACUCAUAUGGUCUCAAAGAGAGAUGAUGACAUAAAAAUUAUGCUCAAUAGGAUUAUGCUGAGGCCC
Suricata suricatta (meerkat) is the source of this 81-nucleotide small nucleolar RNA. Its record names the gene SNORD115. It matches the Rfam family "Small nucleolar RNA SNORD115". From Rfam's summary of the family: HBII-52 is a member of the C/D class of snoRNAs, which contain the C (UGAUGA) and D (CUGA) box motifs. HBII-52 is encoded in a tandemly repeated array with another C/D snoRNA, HBII-85, in the Prader-Willi syndrome (PWS) region of chromosome 15. The record is from Ensembl. NCBI's taxonomy places the organism in Eukaryota, Metazoa, Chordata, Mammalia, Carnivora, Herpestidae.